This is a long non-coding RNA of Eriocheir sinensis (Chinese mitten crab), 516 nucleotides long. RefSeq lists it as uncharacterized. The record is from RefSeq and is a predicted model, not a curated record. The transcript has 4 exons. Lineage: Eukaryota; Metazoa; Arthropoda; Malacostraca; Decapoda; Varunidae.
GUAUAAUCCAAGUCAUAACCUGCUAAUAAUGACUUUGAGAUCAGGUGUAACGUAUAAUCCAAGUCAUAACCUGCGAAUAAUGACUUUGAGACCAGGUGUAACGUAUAAUCCAGUCAUAACCUGCUAAUAAUGACUUUGAGACCAGGUGUAACGUAUAAUCCAAUCAUAACCUGCUAAUAAUGACUUUGAGACCAGGUAUAACGUAUAAUCCAAGUCAUAACCUGCUAAUAAUGACUUUGAGACCAGGUGUAACGUAUAAUCCAAGUCAUAACCUGCUAAUAAUGACUUUGAGACCAGGUGUAACGUAUAAUCCAAGUCAUAACCUGCUAAUAAUGACUUUGAGACCAGGUGUAACGUAUAAUCCAAGUCAUAACCUGCUAAUAAUGACUUUGAGACCAGGUGUAACGUAUAAUCCAAGUCAUAACCUGCUAAUAAUGACUUUGAGAUCAGGUGUAACGUAUAAUCCAAGUCAUAACCUGGUAAUAAUGACUUUGAGACCAGGUAUAACGUAUAAUC